Molecule: ribosomal RNA, 317 nt
Filed under: uncultured eukaryote
Lineage: Eukaryota
Description: partial 18S ribosomal RNA
Rfam family: Eukaryotic small subunit ribosomal RNA
Source: RNAcentral
CCCUUAGAUGUUCUGGGCGGCCCGCGCACUACAUUGGCACUGUCAGCAAGGGUCUGAAACUAAAACUUUUGGGUAUUCUGAGAACCGGUGUCGUGACUGGGAUUGACCCUUGCAAUUAUUGGUUAUGAACGAGGAAUUCCUUGUAAUCGCGGUUUAUCAGCCCGCGUUGAAUGCGUCCCUGCCCUUUGUACACACCGCCCGUCGCACCUACCGAUUGAAUGGUCCGGUGAAAUCUCGGGACGGCGGCUUGGUCGCUUGCGUCCGACUGCUGAAACUUGAUUAAACCAUAUCAUUUAGAGGAAGGUGAAGUCGUAACA